UUUUAGCACAUGAAGAGAGAAUUAAAAGGUCAAAGGAGAAGAAUCUUGAGCAUGCCUUUCAAACCAAGGUGGAGGUCUCUAGUAAAGGAAAAUUUGGCGAAGACUCUUCUGGACAAAUGCAUUUUGGUAGUGGCUGAGGUAGAGGUGGCUACCGUGGUCGUGGAAGAGGUCGAGGAAGGUCUGAUAUGGGGCAUUUUAACAGACAGGAUAACAAAGGAAUGUAGUGUUAUAAUUGCAACAACUACGGUCAUAUAGCACGAAAUUGCCCGGAGAAGAUUGAGAAAGCCAAACAACAAG
Molecule: long non-coding RNA, 297 nt
Filed under: Panax ginseng (ginseng)
Lineage: Eukaryota; Viridiplantae; Streptophyta; Magnoliopsida; Apiales; Araliaceae
Description: long non-coding RNA (PGIN_LNC018643)
Source: RNAcentral